UACGAAGGGGGCUAGCGUUGUUCGGAAUUACUGGGCGUAAAGCGCGCGCAGGCGGCUAUCCAAGUCAGUGGUGAAAGCCCGGAGCUCAACUCCGGAACUGCCAUUGAAACUGUUUAGCUUGAGGACGAGAGAGGUGAGUGGAAUUCCCAGUGUAGAGGUGAAAUUCGUAGAUAUUGGGAAGAACACCGGUGGCGAAGGCGGCUCACUGGCUCGUUUCUGACGCUCAGGCGCGACAGCGUGGGGAUCGAAACAGG
Molecule: ribosomal RNA, 254 nt
Filed under: uncultured bacterium
Lineage: Bacteria
Description: partial 16S ribosomal RNA
Rfam family: Bacterial small subunit ribosomal RNA
Source: RNAcentral